ACGUCAUAUUAUGUCAGCGGUGAAAAACAUGUAUUGUAUACAAUGUAAACAACAUUGAAAAAUAUCCACCGGAAAGAAAAUCUAAAAUGAAAAUUUAUUGGAAUGGCGUUAAAUGAAAUCGAACUGUUCAUGACUGAAAUUGAACAGUAGGCACAGAGGAGACUCUCCUCAGGAGAGGGAAACUAAUAAUUGACGGCAAGUAACCCUUGAUGACGACACCUCAAUGUAUUUAUAAUCUGAAUGCCUCCGAAUCUUGAGCGGGCUAUUGAAGAAGUCGACUGCAAUGAACCAACGGAACAAUUGCACUGGUGCUUACUAACGCGAAGAAGAAAAAUCAAAUAACGAGAGCUAUUAUAACUCUUAUUAAAAUGCAAUAUGGAAUGAAAUUAUGGAAUUCUCUUGGUAAUAAAAU
Molecule: long non-coding RNA, 412 nt
Organism: Bradysia coprophila
Lineage: Eukaryota; Metazoa; Arthropoda; Insecta; Diptera; Sciaridae
Source: RefSeq, a predicted model, not a curated record